AACGAACGCUGGCGGCAUGCCUAACACAUGCAAGUCGAACGAGACCUUCGGGUCUAGUGGCGCACGGGUGCGUAACGCGUGGGAACCUGCCCUUAGGUCCGGAAUAACUCCCCGAAAGGGGUGCUAAUACCGGAUAAUGUCUUCGGACCAAAGAUUUAUCGCCUUUGGAUGGGCCCGCGUUGGAUUAGCUAGUUGGUAGGGUAAAAGCCUACCAAGGCGACGAUCCAUAGCUGGUCUGAGAGGAUGAUCAGCCACACUGGGACUGAGACACGGCCCAGACUCCUACGGGAGGCAGCAGUGGGGAAUAUUGGACAAUGGGCGAAAGCCUGAUCCAGCAAUGCCGCGUGAGUGAUGAAGGCCUUAGGGUUGUAAAGCUCUUUUACCCGGGAUGAUAAUGACAGUACCGGGAGAAUAAGCUCCGGCUAACUCCGUG
RNAcentral lists this ribosomal RNA (433 nucleotides) under uncultured bacterium. RNAcentral's name for it is "partial 16S ribosomal RNA". It matches the Rfam family "Bacterial small subunit ribosomal RNA", at positions 29 to 507 of the family's 1533-position model. The record is from RNAcentral.